This 253-nucleotide ribosomal RNA is filed under the name uncultured bacterium. RNAcentral describes it as "partial 16S ribosomal RNA". It matches the Rfam family "Bacterial small subunit ribosomal RNA", at positions 524 to 776 of the family's 1533-position model. The record is from RNAcentral.
UACGUAGGGGGCAAGCGUUGUCCGGAAUCAUUGGGCGUAAAGCGCGUGUAGGCGGCUCGGUAAGUCUGCUGUGAAAGUCCAGGGCUCAACCCUGGGAUGCCGGUGGAUACUGUCGAGCUCGAGUCCGGAAGAGGCGAGUGGAAUUCCAGGUGUAGCGGUGAAAUGCGUAGAUAUCUGGAGGAACACCGGUGGCGAAGGCGACAUCCUGGACCGGUAUUGACGCUGAGGCGCGAAAGCCAGGGGAGCAAACGGG